Molecule: small nucleolar RNA, 103 nt
Filed under: Chinchilla lanigera (long-tailed chinchilla)
Lineage: Eukaryota; Metazoa; Chordata; Mammalia; Rodentia; Chinchillidae
Description: Small nucleolar RNA SNORA28 (ENSCLAG00000020589.1)
Rfam family: Small nucleolar RNA SNORA28
About the family: ACA28 is a member of the H/ACA class of snoRNA that guide the sites of modification of uridines to pseudouridines.
Source: RNAcentral
AAAAAUUAGUCUGGCACAAUUUGAACUUGCUACAGCAAGAAUGUCUAACCUAUUCCAGUGCUCUCCCCUCUGCGAGAUGGGCCAUUACAUAAACUUAAACAGU